RNAcentral lists this ribosomal RNA (440 nucleotides) under uncultured bacterium. RNAcentral's name for it is "partial 16S ribosomal RNA". It matches the Rfam family "Bacterial small subunit ribosomal RNA", at positions 338 to 795 of the family's 1533-position model. The record is from RNAcentral.
CCUACGGGUGACAGCAGUGGGGGAUAUUGCACAAUGGGGGGAACCCUGAUGCAGCGACGCCGCGUGGGUGAAGAAGGGCCUCGGCGUGUAAAGCUCUGUCAGCAGGGAAGAAAAUGACGGUACCUGAAGAAGAAGCCCCGGCUAACUACGUGCCAGCAGCCGCGGUAAUACGUAGGGGGCAAGCGUUAUCCGGAUUUACUGGGCGUAAAGGGGGCGCAGACGGCGAUGCAAGACAGGAGUGAAAGCCCGGGGCCCAACCCCGGGACUGCUCUUGGAACUGCGUGGCUGGAGUGAAGGAGGGGCAAGCGGAAUUCCUGGUGUAGCGGUGAAAUUCGUAGAUAUCAGGAGGAACACCGGUGGCGAAGGCGGCCUGCUGGACUGCAACUGACGUUGAGGCCCGAAAGCGUGGGGAGCAAACAGGAUUAGAUACCCGGGUAGUC